AUGCUGAAGUUACAUGAGCUACAUCCCGUAGUUACAGUGUCCUCUAGUUUGAAAUCCUUAAGUUAAUAAGUCUAUACCAGGUACUGCUGGCUUUGAUUAAAGGUCAUUUUUAAAACUUAAAAACUCAAGACCUCACCUCACAGAUUAUAAUAGAAAAAGAAAUGGCCUCAGUUUGAUCUUGUUCAGAAUGACCCAGAUUGGUUUUGCUUUGGGUAUAGCUGUUUUGUUCAGAGUUACCUUACAGAGAAUUAUUUUCUGAGAUAAUCUUAAACUAGAAUGUUCAAAACGAAUUGAUAAUUGAAGUAUCAGGAUACAUAGAACACCUCAGAGAUUUUUCUUCAGGAGCUUCCACAAACUUUGAAUCCUUGUAUCUUUAUUUGUUAUUCAUACUACUAGUAGCAAAAUACAGAUUUUUCGUUUUGAUUUGGCUUCGUAGAGUAUCUCAAACUGAAACUUUUCUGCACAAAGAAUACAAUUAGGGAUUUUGUAAAUUCAAAUUGGCCCCUACUGAAUUAAAAAUAAGAUCAUUUAAAUAUAAUUCAGCAUAUGGGAAGUAACAUUGCACUAAUAUGGAAAUCACUGCCAGAGACAGUCUUUUUUCUUUUAAUUUGUUACUACUAGUCACAGACCCUACUUAUUCCAGUUUGGAAUUACUUAUUAAGGAGAAUUGGAAAUACAUAUGCCCAUGAUUAAAUUUGAUAGCUUUAAUUUGUAUUAUUUCUUUAUUGGCAGGAAGAGGUAUACCUUUGUUUUCCUUGCUGAAAACAAACAUGGAUUAACUGCCUCAAAUUUGUAUAAGUGAUUGGCUAGUCUAGAGAUUCUUGUUUUCAGAAGGGAGAGUGGUCUAGAUAGAAAAUGACAAAGAUGGCAAUAUAUACUUAAUGUUGUUAUUCUUAUGUUGUUACUGAAAUACUUAGAUUUCUAAAAUUUUAAAUCAUAAAUCACUUCUUUUUGUUUUGUUUUGGUUUUGUUAUUUUUCUUUUGUUCAUAAAUCACUUAUAGGAGGAUUUCCACUGACUAGCUGCAGUAUUUUCAGUUCACUACAUAUGGGCAAUUUGAGUUUUUUGUGUGCUUUCUUUCUGUCUGUCUUUUAUACCUAGUUUUGUACAUAUCUAACUGUUCUCUUUUGGUUGUUCAGAAACUGGAUUAUUUUUUCUUAAGCAGUGCUUAAUUUGUGUUUUUAAAUUUUGAUUCAGAAGUAGUCCCAGCUCAUAGGUGUUCAUGCUGUUACAUCUAGAACAUUUGUCAGGCUGUCAGCUCUCAUGUACAUAUGGUAUAGAAACCAUGGAGUUAGGCACUUCCUGGAUUUUUUUUUUAAAUGAGAAAAAUACUGUAUUUAAAAUGUAAAAUAAACUUUUAACAAGCAGGCACUAAUAUAUAUUUCUUCCAGCCUUUGAUUACAAAUUUGUUCGUGCACAUGUUAAGAUGAAUUAUCUCCUAAAAAUAUCAUUGUUCUUGGGAGCAGUAUAUGUUACUUUACAUAGCAGCGGUUCCUGUCAUGUGUUCACGUCAGAAUAUUUUUGGUUUUAAACUUUUUUUAUUGCCUUUGGCUCUUGAUUAGUACAGUACAAAUGCGAUUUCAAAAAGAUCUUGAAUAUAAUAUAUUUAAUCAAUUAAAAUGUUUAUCUGUAA
Molecule: non-coding RNA, 1632 nt
Organism: Callithrix jacchus (white-tufted-ear marmoset)
Lineage: Eukaryota; Metazoa; Chordata; Mammalia; Primates; Cebidae
Source: RefSeq, a predicted model, not a curated record